RNAcentral lists this long non-coding RNA (684 nucleotides) under Cyanistes caeruleus (blue tit). RNAcentral's name for it is "lncRNA (ENSCCEG00000024398.1)". Lineage: Eukaryota; Metazoa; Chordata; Aves; Passeriformes; Paridae. The record is from RNAcentral.
CUGCUACGGAGGGCGAGGGGGUGGAGUUUCUGUUUUGUCUGUGCACUUUUUUUCCCCAUUCGGAUGAGAUGACAACACUAGAGCAGUGGAAAAACAGCACAGGUUACAGAAAGUUGAGACUGUGCAGAUGUGUCUGAAGUGUGAACACCCAGCCCACAGAGUGCCAGCACCCUCAGGGAGACUUUGUGUACUCUGCUGAUGCUUUCAGACCUGAGGACAAGCACUGCAAAACCGCCAGUAUUUCAACUGGAAAAGCUUCCAGAAGUUACUGCAUUUUCCUCAGCUCUCUAAAGAGAGUGGGAUCUGUGCUUUUUAGGAGUCCUCAUCCAAGUAAAACCUCAAUUCACACCACAAACUCUGACCAACCACCAACAGGCUGGGGUUGCACCAUGUCCAUGUGAGCAUUUUAAUUGUGAAUUUUUAGUAGUAACAGGAAAUGUGCAACAAAAGCCACCUACUCCAUAAGGACAACAUCCCCUUGGGCUGAAUUUCCCCACUGUCCACAGCGUUUCACAGCCCUUGCUUAUGCAAGACCAGAAAAAGGGCAGUAUUUGGCAAUCAUGAGGUGGCAAAUACAUUUUUUCACAUGAGCUUGGGCAGAAAUAACCGUGUUCAACAUCCGCAGUUUGAGCAGAGCUUCACUCUGGGGCUCUGGGGCUUCCCAAGGCAGCUGCAGCAUGAGGG